UUCUCUUCCAUUACUCUCAGCAGGCAAAACAAGAUUGAAUUUGUAAGGACAAAUCAUUUUGAGACUUUUUCCAAAUAGAACCCUAGCACCUCCUUGUAUGCUUAAUGUCAACAUCUCUUCAGCCUCUUCCAAUCUCCCUUACAGUGGACUCGUCAUCCCUUCUCCCUUACAAGGGUAUGGCCUCUCUCUCUCUCUCUGUUGUUUAAUGGUGGGGCAAGGGUUUUCGGUAACGUAGUGGUGUUGUGGUGGGGAUGGAAUGGUGUAACGGGAGGUGUGGUGUGAGAGAAGGGCUAGUGGUGCUAUAGUAGAGACGGAAAGGGCGGGCAUUUUCAGAUUUGUGGUGGAGAAAAAGAGUAAUUUUGUGGUUGUGGAUAAAAGGGAAAAAGGCAAUGGAUCUAUGGUAAUAGAGGGUUGGAGGGGCUGUGGCAAGGGGCGGAAGGGGAAGUGUAACCAGGUGGGAUAGGGGUUCCUAAGGGGAAUAAAGAUGUUGGAGAGCUAGAAGAGGGUUAGGAGAGGGAGAUAGUGUAAAAGCCCUUCUUGUGUUUGAUAAAAUACCUGUGUGAAACAUUGCCAUAUUGUUGGGUAUUUUAGAGUUGAAGGGUCAUUUCAUUAUCUUGUGUGGAGAAUCCUUAGUGCACCAGAUAAGCAAUGGGCUACUGAAAAUGGUGGGAUGGUUGAUGAAGAUGAUACUCAAGAUCCAGCAGAAGUUGAACAACAAUUAGAUCGGGUAAAGGACUGGAUCAGCUGUUAUCACCUUGAGACUAUUGAACUCAUCAAUGUCCUCUCAAAUUUUCGCAGCAUCUCAUUGGCUUUGAUUGAAGAAAUUAUGGACAAGCUAGUUAAGGAAGGUAUUCUAUCUAUGGAAUAGACUGUUACACCAUUGACAAACAAAAGAAAUUCCAUUAUGAUUUCAAUCUUAUAAAGGAAGAAAUGGUUGGCCAAGUUGUCCCAGGCAAGAAAGCUUAGCAGGAUAUUGGUGAAGAUCACAUGUACAUGAAGAUACACCAGCACAUAAUUGUUAAAAUCUUGGUGGAAUUGCUCAACACUUGGAAAUGUGGGGGAUUGUUGAUUUGUUUAUUCUUUUGGAGUUGACCCAUCUUGACAUGGGGAUGAAGAGUCAGUGUGAUGAGAAAAUGUCCGAUUUUGUCUUUUGUAAGACAAGAACAGUCUCUACAAAAAUAGUUUAUUCAUAUGCUUCUAGCGGUUUCUAAAUUAAUUUGUUUUUUUAUUUUUUAGGUCAGAAAUUUCCUGGAGAGAUACAAAAUAUGGUCAAAGAAUUCAAGAACUUAGUUUUUUCAAUUUUUUUUAUCUUUUAAUAUAUGUAAUCACAGGUAAAAACUUUUUAUUAAUUUCUUUUUAUAUACUUUUGAAU
Camellia sinensis is the source of this 1372-nucleotide non-coding RNA. The record is from RefSeq and is a predicted model, not a curated record. Lineage: Eukaryota; Viridiplantae; Streptophyta; Magnoliopsida; Ericales; Theaceae.